GGGGAAUAUUGCACAAUGGGGGAAACCCUGAUGCAGCAACGCCGCGUGAAGGAAGACGGUUUUCGGAUUGUAAACUUCUGUUCUUAGUGAAGAAUAAUGACGGUAGCUAAGGAGCAAGCCACGGCUAACUACGUGCCAGCAGCCGCGGUAAUACGUAGGUGGCAAGCGUUGUCCGGAAUUACUGGGUGUAAAGGGAGCGCAGGCGGGAAGACAAGUUGGAAGUGAAAACCAUGGGCUCAACCCAUGAAUUGCUUUCAAAACUGUUUUUCUUGAGUAGUGCAGAGGUAGAUGGAAUUCCCGGUGUAGCGGUGGAAUGCGUAGAUAUCGGGAGGAACACCAGUGGCGAAGGCGGCCUACUGGGCACCAACUGACGCUGACGCUCGAAAGUGUGGGUAGCAAACAGGAUUAGAUACCCUGGUAGUCCACACCGUAAACGAUGAUUACUAGGUGUUGGAGGAUUGACCCCUUCAGUGCCGCAGUUAACACAAUAAGUAAUCCACCUGGGGAGUACGACCGCAAGGUUGAAACUCAAAGGAAUUGACGGGGGCCCGCACAAGCAGUGGAGUAUGUGGUUUAAUUCGACGCAACGCGAAGAACCUUACCAAGUCUUGACAUCCUGCGACGGUGCUGGAAACAGUAUCUUCCUUCGGGACGCAGAGACAGGUGGUGCAUGGUUGUCGUCAGCUCGUGUCGUGAGAUGUUGGGUUAAGUCCCGCAACGAGCGCAACCCUUGUUACUAGUUGCUACGCAAGAGCACUCUAGUGAGACUGCCGGUGACAAACCGGAGGAAGGUGGGGAUGACGUCAAGUCCUCAUGGCCCUUAUGGCUAGGGCCUCACACGUCAUACAAUGGUCGGAACAGAGGGCAGGGAAGCCGCGAGGUGGAGCAAAUCCCAGAAAACCGAUCGUAGUCCGGAUUGCAGUCUGCAACUCGACUGCAUGAAGUCGGAAUCGCUAGUAAUCGCGGAUCAGCAUGCCGCGGUGAAUACGUUCCCG
Molecule: ribosomal RNA, 995 nt
Filed under: uncultured bacterium
Lineage: Bacteria
Description: bacterial SSU rRNA
Rfam family: Bacterial small subunit ribosomal RNA
Source: RNAcentral